RNAcentral lists this ribosomal RNA (252 nucleotides) under uncultured bacterium. RNAcentral's name for it is "partial 16S ribosomal RNA". It matches the Rfam family "Bacterial small subunit ribosomal RNA", at positions 524 to 776 of the family's 1533-position model. The record is from RNAcentral.
UACAGAGGGUGCAAGCGUUGUUCGGAAUCAUUGGGCGUAAAGCGCGUGUAGGCGGUUCGGUAAGUCUGCUGUGAAAGUCGGGGGCUCAACCCUCGAAUGCCGGUGGAUACUGUCGGACUAGAGUACGGAAGAGGCGAGUGGAAUUCCUGGUGUAGCGGUGAAAUGCGCAGAUAUCAGGAGGAACACCAAUGCGAAGGCAGCUCGCUGGGACGUUACUGACGCUGAGACGCGAAAGCGUGGGGAGCAAACAGG